RNAcentral lists this ribosomal RNA (634 nucleotides) under uncultured Ottowia sp. RNAcentral describes it as "bacterial SSU rRNA". It matches the Rfam family "Bacterial small subunit ribosomal RNA", at positions 897 to 1533 of the family's 1533-position model. Lineage: Bacteria; Pseudomonadati; Pseudomonadota; Betaproteobacteria; Burkholderiales; Comamonadaceae. The record is from RNAcentral.
AAACUUAAAGGAAUUGACGGGGACCCGCACAAGCGGUGGAUGAUGUGGUUUAAUUCGAUGCAACGCGAAAACCUUACCCACCUUUGACAUGUACGGAAUCCUGCAGAGACGCAGGAGUGCUCGAAAGAGAGCCGUAACACAGGUGCUGCAUGGCUGUCGUCAGCUCGUGUCGUGAGAUGUUGGGUUAAGUCCCGCAACGAGCGCAACCCUUGCCAUUAGUUGCUACGAAAGGGCACUCUAAUGGGACUGCCGGUGACAAACCGGAGGAAGGUGGGGAUGACGUCAAGUCCUCAUGGCCCUUAUAGGUGGGGCUACACACGUCAUACAAUGGCUGGUACAAAGGGUUGCCAACCCGCGAGGGGGAGCCAAUCCCAUAAAGCCAGUCGUAGUCCGGAUCGCAGUCUGCAACUCGACUGCGUGAAGUCGGAAUCGCUAGUAAUCGUGGAUCAGCAUGUCACGGUGAAUACGUUCCCGGGUCUUGUACACACCGCCCGUCACACCAUGGGAGCGGGUUCUGCCAGAAGUAGUUAGCCUAACCGCAAGGAGGGCGAUUACCACGGCAGGGUUCGUGACUGGGGUGAAGUCGUAACAAGGUAGCCGUAUCGGAAGGUGCGGCUGGAUCACCUCCUUUAUG